RNAcentral lists this ribosomal RNA (715 nucleotides) under uncultured Candidatus Pelagibacter sp. RNAcentral's name for it is "bacterial SSU rRNA". It matches the Rfam family "Bacterial small subunit ribosomal RNA", at positions 56 to 818 of the family's 1533-position model. Lineage: Bacteria; Pseudomonadati; Pseudomonadota; Alphaproteobacteria; Candidatus Pelagibacterales; Candidatus Pelagibacteraceae. The record is from RNAcentral.
UGCAGUCGAACGAAGUAGCAAUACUUAGUGGCGAACGGGUGAGUAUAAUGUGGGUAUCUGCCUUUUGGUUUGGAAUAACACGGGGAAACUUGUGCUAAUACUGGAUAAGCCUUUACAGGGAAAGCUUUAGCGCCAAAAGAUGAGCCCACACUUGAUUAGCUAGUUGGUAAGGUAAAAGCUUACCAAGGCUACGAUCAAUAGCUGAUCUGAGAGGAUGAUCAGCCACAUUGGGACUGAGACACGGCCCAAACUCCUACGGGGGGCAGCAGUGGGGAAUCUUGCACAAUGGGGGAAACCCUGAUGCAGCGAUGCCGCGUGAGUGAAGAAGGCCUUUGGGUUGUAAAGCUCUUUCGUCGGGGAAGAAAAUGACUGUACCCGAAUAAGAAGAUCCGGCUAACUCCGUGCCAGCAGCCGCGGUAAUACGGAGGGAUCUAGCGUUAUUCGGAAUUACUGGGCGUAAAGCGAGCGUAGGCGGAUUUGUAAGUUGGAGGUGAAAUCCCAGAGCUUAACUCUGGAACUGCCUUCAAAACUACAUUUCUCGAGUUUGGUAGAGGAGAGUGGAAUUCCUAGUGUAGAGGUGAAAUUCGUAGAUAUUAGGAGGAACACCAGUGGCGAAGGCGACUCUCUGGGCCAAUACUGACGCUGAGGUUCGAAAGCAUGGGUAGCGAACAGGAUUAGAUACCCUGGUAGUCCAUGCAGUAAACGAUGAGUGCUA